GGUGAAUAUUGCACAAUGGGCGAAAGCCUGAUGCAGCAACGCCGCGUGAGUGAUGAAGGCCUUCGGGUUGUAAAGCUCUGUCUUCUGGGACGAUAAUGACGGUACCAGAGGAGGAAGCCACGGCUAACUACGUGCCAGCAGCCGCGGUAAUACGUAGGUGGCAAGCGUUGUCCGGAAUUACUGGGCGUAAAGGAUGCGUAGGCGGAUACUUAAGUCAGAUGUGAAAAUCCCGGGCUUAACUUGGGAACUGCAUUUGAAACUGGGUAUCUAGAGUGCGGGAGAGGAAAGUGGAAUUCCUAGUGUAGCGGUGAAAUGCGUAGAGAUUAGGAAGAACACCAGUGGCGAAGGCGACUUUCUGGACCGUAACUGACGCUGAGGCAUGAAAGCGUGGGGAGCAAAC
Molecule: ribosomal RNA, 400 nt
Filed under: uncultured bacterium
Lineage: Bacteria
Description: bacterial SSU rRNA
Rfam family: Bacterial small subunit ribosomal RNA
Source: RNAcentral